GGGGAUGUGGCUCAGUGGUAGAGUGCUUGCUUAGCAUACAUGAAGCCCUGGGUUUGAUUCCUCAUUACCA
Molecule: transfer RNA, 70 nt
Filed under: Dipodomys ordii (Ord's kangaroo rat)
Lineage: Eukaryota; Metazoa; Chordata; Mammalia; Rodentia; Heteromyidae
Rfam family: tRNA
About the family: Transfer RNA (tRNA) molecules are approximately 80 nucleotides in length. Their secondary structure includes four short double-helical elements and three loops (D, anti-codon, and T loops). Further hydrogen bonds mediate the characteristic L-shaped molecular structure. tRNAs have two regions of fundamental functional importance: the anti-codon, which is responsible for specific mRNA codon recognition, and the 3' end, to which the tRNAs corresponding amino acid is attached (by aminoacyl-tRNA synthetases). tRNAs cope with the degeneracy of the genetic code in two manners: having more than one tRNA (with a specific anti-codon) for a particular amino acid; and 'wobble' base-pairing, i.e. permitting non-standard base-pairing at the 3rd anti-codon position.
Source: Rfam by way of RNAcentral